RNAcentral lists this ribosomal RNA (253 nucleotides) under uncultured bacterium. Its description in RNAcentral is "partial 16S ribosomal RNA". It matches the Rfam family "Bacterial small subunit ribosomal RNA", at positions 524 to 776 of the family's 1533-position model. The record is from RNAcentral.
UACGAAGGGGGCUAGCGUUGCUCGGAAUCACUGGGCGUAAAGGGUGCGUAGGCGGGUCUUUAAGUCCGGGGUGAAAUCCUGGAGCUCAACUCCAGAACUGCCCUUGAUACUGGCGGUCUCGAGUCCGGGAGAGGUGAGUGGAACUGCGAGUGUAGAGGUGAAAUUCGUAGAUAUUCGCAAGAACACCAGUGGCGAAGGCGGCUCACUGGCCCGGUACUGACGCUGAGGUGCGAAAGCGUGGGGAGCAAACAGG